AGUACUUUGCCCUUCCUCACUGUAGGAUGAAACGCUGGAGUCAAUUGCUCUAUUACACACAGCAGAGCCUAAGUCAGAAUGUGUAACUUUUGCCCUGUAACUUUUUUGGCACUACUCAUGUUGGUAGCAUUGAUCGAGCUUGCUCCCGUUUUGCACUUUCCCUCUAAAUGGCCUUAACAUGAGCAGAGCAUCUUGGCACGGGCUGAAAACUUGUCCUAUCCAAUGAGGCAGUAAAAAAGAAUAGUCGGGAGUGGGAGACAGUCUGAUAUUCUUUUGCUUCUGCUUGAGUAGUCCUUUAGUAAGAUCUUUUAGAUCCUGCUGAUACUUCCAAGCUGACCGUGAGUACAUAGAGCUGAGGUCCAGCUGCUUAUCUCUUGACCAGUUCCACCAGAGUAACGAUGAGGAAGAUUGUUUGGUGACGGUUCUAAAGGACCUCAUUGAGUGGAAGGGACUAACCUUCCCAGUGGCACGUUCGUGUUUUAAAGACAAGUUGCUUCAUGAAAGCAGGCUGGGUUUCACAGGAGCCGUGUCACGUUGGCACAAGCUUUGUGUUCUCAGUCUCUGCCAAACACAGUGGUAUAUCACGAGUGCUGCACCUGGUCUGUGUCCUUGAAGUGCGUCUCCAACUGCUGUUGGUUUUUGUAGAAGUUUAGGCCGAUACACGCUCUGCAGAAUGAGGUUCUUUAAACCUAAAUUAACAUUCUGUUGAAGACUAAACAUAUGUUGUUUUUCUUCACUGUCAACAAUUUGGUUUCCAGGUUUGGAAAAGAAACAUUGCUGGGGAGGAAUCCAAUGAAUUUAUUAAUGAGCUUGGGUGAUCUCAGCUCCUGCUUGGGCAAGAACAACAAGUCACUGGCCAAGGGGAGCCCAUUGAGGAGUACAAGAUGUGGGCUUUCCUCCCACAGAGUGCACUCUUGCCUUUCUUUCCUUGCCAGCUGCUGGUGGUCACACAACCUUGAAGGAAUUUAAUAUUUGCAAGACUGCUGCCACGCACUGAAUUUGAUACUUGCCAGUGGGUUCAAACGUUCAUGAGGAGGGAAAAAGCCACUUUGUUCUCCAUCGUGACUUCACUUCUGCCCAGAUUACCUGGGAAUGCCCACAAACUGUGUGUAAUGAAAAGC
Molecule: non-coding RNA, 1121 nt
Organism: Meleagris gallopavo (turkey)
Lineage: Eukaryota; Metazoa; Chordata; Aves; Galliformes; Phasianidae
Source: RefSeq, a predicted model, not a curated record